GGCCAGUGUGAUGUAAUGGUUUGAGCAUUGGACUAGGACACUGGGAGACCAGGGUUCGAAUCCCAGCUUGGCCA
This 74-nucleotide transfer RNA is filed under the name Phrynosoma platyrhinos (Desert horned lizard). Its description in RNAcentral is "tRNA-OTHER". Lineage: Eukaryota; Metazoa; Chordata; Lepidosauria; Squamata; Phrynosomatidae. The record is from RNAcentral.